CUUUUUCUUAUUCCUUUUGUUAAUCUGAGGAGUUGUGGUUAAUUGCUGUUGAUACCAUUAAACCUGGGGAUUUUCCAGUUACUAACUGUUAGCUUCACUGUCACACUGUGGUGUUUUUUAUUGUCUUUGCAAGCCUUUUUUUGCCAUCGCUUUUGAAUGUGUCAUAAACUUGUGCUCUGCUUGUUCAUUGUUCAGUUCUACAAACCAGAUGUGACAGGAAUGUGUACCCUUGUACUACAAGGCCUCAGUUAUAUACAAGUUUACUUUGUAUUUGCAGCACUUCAGGGUUUCCACCAGGAGGAGCGGGAGGCAGCCACCAGGGAGGAUUUGUCCAAUUACCAACGCGAAGAGGAUGUGGGAAUGCUCCAAAUCACAGUUGACUUUGUUCAUCUCCAGCAAUAAAUGAUUUAGCCUCCCUCAGUUACUGGACUCAAGUGGAUGGAUAACAGCUAAACAGGAAAAACAUUAUUUAAUCACUCUUUCAUUUUUUAAAAAUCUUUCUUGUAGUUUCUUUCAAGCUGGGUUUUUUAAAAGUGUGGACGCUGUUUAAUAACUGAUCAUCUGCUCUAAUGUUUUGUUUGCUUUUAAAAAGGCUUUUGACACUAACGUUCCACAUCCUCUCCACCUUGAUCCAGCGUCUACUGACGUCAUUUCUGAGGGAGGUUUUCAUGGAUUGUCUCAAGAGGUUACCUCAAGUACUUUGCCUCCUGUUUGGACUGUUAAUGCUUUACACUUCAAAUCAACGAUGGAUGCUUGGCUUGAGACAGAAAACAAGGGAGUUCCUGCAAGCUUUUAGAGUUUGAAUGUAACUAAAUAAAUAUCUGCACAUGUGGUUUUUAACUAUUACACGUGAACAUUAAUCAUGCUUUGUGACUUUUGACAUGGACACAGUGCCAACGUGUGCAGGCUAAACCUGCUCUCUGCCAUGUUGGUCUCUUCUAAAAAAUCAUGUUGCCAAAGAUGUCCCACUUGCUAUCCUUCUUUCUUCUGCCUCCACCAGCCUUAAUUACAUUUUAAGAUGAGCAACGUCAGUUAUUUUAGAAAGGAGAAAAUAAA
Molecule: long non-coding RNA, 1056 nt
Organism: Oreochromis aureus
Lineage: Eukaryota; Metazoa; Chordata; Actinopteri; Cichliformes; Cichlidae
Source: Ensembl